AGAGGAAAGAAGGGACAGUCUGAUAAGAGAGGGAGCUGAGCUGGCUGGAGGCUGCAAUUCUGAACCUGAGCUUAACUGGGAGGAACCAUGAAGACAUCCAUGGGAGCUUUAAUGAUGUUCUUGUGGCUGCAGCUUAACUGGUUCAGCCAGGGAGAGAAUGUGGAGCAGCAUCCUUCUACCCUGAGUGUCCAGGAGGGAGGCAGCUCUUUUAUCAACUGCAGUUAUUCCGAUGGUGGCUCAGACUACUUCCCCUGGUAUAAGCAAGAACUUGGAAAAGGUCCCCAGCUCUUUAUAUACAUUCGUUCAAGCAUGGCUACAAAAGAAGACCAAAGACUCACUGUCUCAUUGAAUGAGACGGCCAGACGUUUCUCCCUGCACAUCAGAGACACCCAGCCUGAAGACUCAGCUGUGUACUUCUGCGCAGCAAGCACACAUUGCUUCCCAGGCACUUGCUGCCUGCACUCAAACCUGGGACUGGGGCAGCCCCGUCCUUUGACACAGACCUUCAAAGAUAGCUUUUGUGCUGUUGUUUAUCCACAAGUGGAAGCUAACAUAUUAGACAUUAAAAGCAUAUAAGAGGAAGAGUAAGCCAAUGAUGACCUGGACAGAGGUAGAACAUUUUGUUAGAUGACUGUUGCCUAAUGGAUUCUUGAAGGUAGUUAGUAAUGUUUUAUUUUGAAAUCUGGGUUUUAAAGAUGAAUUUACUUUUGCUAUUCAGGCUCCUUUUCUAUAAAUAACUCCGUAGUUCCAGUGAACAGUCCUUACUAUGGAUAGACUCAAACACUGUGUUUCAAAGGUAGCAUUUAUGAUAUUUCUGAUUCUGAAACAUAAUUGGACAUUUAGAAAUAUUGAAAGUACAAAUAUGAAAAUGAAAAUUCUGUGAUCACAUAAUGUUGCUAUUAUUGUUUUUAGACUCUAAAAUUCCUUAUUAUAAUUAUGAUCAUGAUUUUUUUACUUUAUAUAUUUUGAUUUGAGCAUGACCCUUUCAUCAAUUUUUUCCUCAAAGAUCUGCUUUAUUUUAUUUUAUUUUUUAAUUUAGUCAUUUAGCAUGUGUUUUAAAAUAGCUCUGUGAGAUAUUUUACUUAAUUACAUUUUCAUAUUAAUUUUGUCCCUCUGUAUUUCAGGCAAAAUUUGAGAGCCAUUGCUAUGUGCUUUGAUUGCUUUCUUGUUCAGAAAUUUUGUCACGGGUUUUCCUUUAGAGCCCAGGGAUGGUAUGUACUAUUUGUUUGUUUGAGGGAAAUUAAGCAGGGAGUGGUUUGACAAUGUGAGCUUCAGCUAAAACUCAGAAAUCUAUUCUCAUUUACAAAAUUCUGUAUCUGUUCACAAAAAUGCUUUCAUAGAAUUUAGGAGACAGAAUUUUGUAUUUCCUUCAUUGCUAUAUUUUCAGUAGGUACAACAAAUUUUUUCACAUAAUUCAUUAUCAGUAGAUGUUAAUGAAAGAAGGAUAGAAGAAUUCUGCUACCCAUAAUUUAAUUUAAGCUUUAUGAUUGGAUUGAAUUUGUAAAUUUAUUUGUGACAAAUAAAAGUCCUUGAAGUGUC
Non-coding RNA from Mustela lutreola (European mink), 1539 nucleotides. The record is from the annotation of a RefSeq genome assembly. Lineage: Eukaryota; Metazoa; Chordata; Mammalia; Carnivora; Mustelidae.